CGCUGGCGGCAGGCCUAACACAUGCAAGUCGAACGGUAACAGAAAGCAGCUUGCUGCUUUGCUGACGAGUGGCGGACGGGUGAGUAAUGUCUGGGAAACUGCCCGAUGGAGGGGGAUAACUACUGGAAACGGUAGCUAAUACCGCAUAACGUCGCAAGACCAAAGAGGGGGACCUUCGGGCCUCUUGCCAUCGGAUGUGCCCAGAUGGGAUUAGCUAGUAGGUGGGGUAAAGGCUCACCUAGGCGACGAUCCCUAGCUGGUCUGAGAGGAUGACCAGCCACACUGGAACUGAGACACGGUCCAGACUCCUACGGGAGGCAGCAGUGGGGAAUAUUGCACAAUGGGCGCAAGCCUGAUGCAGCCAUGCCGCGUGUAUGAAGAAGGCCUUCGGGUUGUAAAGUACUUUCAGCGGGGAGGAAGGGAGUAAAGUUAAUACCUUUGCUCAUUGACGUUACCCGCAGAAGAAGCACCGGCCAACUCCGUGCCAGCAGCCGCGGUAAUACCGAGGGUGCCAGCGUUAAUCGGAAUUACUGGGCGUAAAGCGCACGCAGGCGGUUUGCUAAGUCCCAUGUGAAAUCCCCCGGGCUCAACCUGGGAACGGCAUCUGAUACUGGCAAGCUUGAGUCUCGUAGAGGGGGGUAGAAUUCCAGGUGUAGCGGUGAAAUGCGUAGAGAUCUGGAGGAAUACCGGUGGCGAAGGCGGCCCCCUGGACGAAGACUGACGCUCAGGUGCGAAAGCGUGGGGAGCAAACAGGAUUAGAUACCCUGGUAGUCCACGCCGUAAACGAUGUCGACUUGGAGGUUGUGCCCUUGAGGCGUGGCUUCCGGAGCUAACGCGUUAAGUCGACCGCCUGGGGAGUACGGUCGCAAGGUUAAAACUCAAAUGAAUUGACGGGGGCCCGCACAAGCGGUGGAGCAUGUGGUUUAAUUCGAUGCAACGCGAAGAACCUUACCUGGUCUUGACAUCCACGGAAGUUUUCAGAGAUGAGAAUGUGCCUUCGGGAACCGUGAGACAGGUGCUGCAUGGCUGUCGUCAGCUCGUGUUGUGAAAUGUUGGGUUAAGUCCCGCAACGAGCGCAACCCUUAUCCUUUGUUGCCAGCGGUCCGGCCGGGAACUCAAAGGAGACUGCCAGUGAUAAACUGGAGGAAGGUGGGGAUGACGUCAAGUCAUCAUGGCCCUUACGACCAGGGCUACACACGUGCUACAAUGGCGCAUACAAAGAGAAGCGACCUCGCGAGAGCAAGCGGACCUCAUAAAGUGCGUCGUAGUCCGGAUUGGAGUCUGCAACUCGACUCCAUGAAGUCGGAAUCGCUAGUAAUCGUGGAUCAGAAUGCCACGGUGAAUACGUUCCCGGGCCUUGUACACACCGCCCGUCACACCAUGGGAGUGGGUUGCAAAAGAAGUAGGUAGCUUAACCUUCGGGAGGGCGCUUACCACUUUGUGAUUCAUGACUGGGGUGAAGUC
This 1464-nucleotide ribosomal RNA is filed under the name uncultured organism. Its description in RNAcentral is "16S ribosomal RNA". It matches the Rfam family "Bacterial small subunit ribosomal RNA". The record is from RNAcentral.